CUACGGGACGCUGCAGUGAGGAAUAUUGCACAAUGGGGGAAACCCUGAUGCAGCAACGCCGCGUGGAGGAUGACGCAUUUCGGUGUGUAAACUCCUUUUAUGAGUCAAGAAAAUGACGGUAGCUCAUGAAUAAGCACCGGCUAGCUCCGUGCCAGCAGCCGCGGUAAUACGGAGGGUGCAAGCGUUUCUCGGAAUCACUGGGCGUAAAGGACGCGUAGGCGGGAUGUCAAGUCAGGUGUGAAAUCCUAUGGCUCAACCAUAGAACUGCACUUGAAACUGGCAACCUAGAGUAUGGGAGGGGGAGAUGGAAUUAGUGGUGUAGGGGUAAAAUCCGUAGAUAUCACUAGGAAUACCGAAAGCGAAGGCGAUCUCCUGGAACAUUACUGACGCUAAGGCGUGAAAGCGUGGGGAGCAAACAGGAUUAGAUACCCCAGUAGUC
This 439-nucleotide ribosomal RNA is filed under the name uncultured bacterium. RNAcentral's name for it is "partial 16S ribosomal RNA". It matches the Rfam family "Bacterial small subunit ribosomal RNA", at positions 339 to 795 of the family's 1533-position model. The record is from RNAcentral.